Molecule: ribosomal RNA, 775 nt
Filed under: uncultured Neocallimastigales
Lineage: Eukaryota; Fungi; Neocallimastigomycota; Neocallimastigomycetes; Neocallimastigales
Description: partial large subunit ribosomal RNA
Rfam family: Eukaryotic large subunit ribosomal RNA
Source: RNAcentral
UACGACUACAUAUCAGGCAUAUCAAUAAGCGGAGGAAAAGAAACUAACAUGGAUUCCCUUAGUAACGGCGAGUGAAGCGGGAAGAGCUCAAAUUUGAAAUCUUCAAGGUUCUACCUUGACGAAUUGUAGUUUAUAGAAGUGUUUUCUGUUAGUGGAGUGGCAAAAGUUCUUUGGAAUAGGACAUCAUAGAGGGUGAGAAUCCCGUAUUUGGUCAUUCCUCCUAGCGUUGUGAUACACUUUCAACGAGUCGGAUUGUUUGGGAAUGCAGUCCAAAAUGGGUGGUAAAUUUCAUCUAAAGCUAAAUAUUGGCGAGAGACCGAUAGCGAACAAGUACCGUGAGGGAAAGAUGAAAAGAACUUUGAAAAGAGAGUUAAACAGUACGUGAAAUUGUCAAAAGGGAAGCGUUUGACACCAGUGUUGUUUUUCCGAAAAUCAAUUGCGAAUGUUUUGUUUUUAAGAAGUUAUGACUUCAUCGGCUUGCUUCCUUUCUUUACGAAACUUUCUUAAUGCACUUUUCGGUUAACAAGUCAACAUCAAUUUCUUUUGUUGUAAAAGGGUAUGAGGAAGGUGGCUUUCUUUUCGGAGAAAGUGUUUAUAGCCUUGUGCCUCUGCAAUCGGAGAGAUUGAGGUCUGCAGCGUAGAUCCUUCGGGGUUAGAUACGUUUGUGCUAAGUUAUAGCUUUUCAUAGACAACUUGUUGACUAUGUUUAGUCUUGUAGCUUACUCGCUGACGCUAUUUUACCUACGCUUAGGAUGUUGAAUCUGUGCGAGACUAC